RNAcentral lists this long non-coding RNA (905 nucleotides) under Salmo salar (Atlantic salmon). Its description in RNAcentral is "lncRNA (ENSSSAG00000105923.1)". Lineage: Eukaryota; Metazoa; Chordata; Actinopteri; Salmoniformes; Salmonidae. The record is from RNAcentral.
AGAACAUAAAUUGCCAGCAAUAAUUACAAGAACUUUUCAACCACCAAGUUGAGGAAAUUACCGAUUUUCAAGAUUAGCCAAGGAGGAGGACCGAUGAUAACAGAAGGCCAGUGGAGCACUUAGAACAGCAGCAGCUAGGGCAAAUGGUAGGGAAGAAGAUGAUUUAAGUGACCCAGACACAGUCCUAAAACAAGUUUAACUACCCCAGUAUCCCCUUGACCGUUUUGGAUUGUAAAACUAAAGACACACACGAGACAAGACACAGAAAGCAACAGAAGAGUAGAUGAUGCAGAGAGACACCAGACAAGACACAGAGACAGCAACAGAAGAGAAGGAUGUGAUGGAGAGAGAGACACCAGACAAGAAAAAGAGACAGCAACAGAAGAAUAGGAUGUGAUGGAGAGAGACCAGAAGAACAGAACAGGCCAUAACAGAAGAGGACAGACAAAGGAGACAGUAACAAACAAUAACCUGAGACAGCAACAGACAAGAUACAGAAGAGGGCAGAUGGAGAGAGAACAGAGGACAGGACGAGAGAAGAGGGUACACAAAGACAGCAACAGAAGAGGGCAGACAAGCGAGACAACAACAGACAACACAGAUAAAGCUAUGGAGAGAGGCAGAGGAGGCUUAUUGGACAGUUUGGCUCACUGGACAGAUCCAUGGAAGAUGCCAGAGUCAGAGAGGACAGAACUGUAGCGGAGAGGAAAACAGCGUCAGGGAAGGGAAAACAGUCACAACACGAAAACAGGAUCUAUGCAGGAACAAACGGCUAAAAACGCAGACUGACUGAGCAGAGGUUACGAUCUGGCAGCGUGGAAGUGACAGGGCUGAGUAUUUGGAGAGGUCUUGAUUAUGGAACAGGUUGCAGCUGAUGGGGAUCUGCUCUGCCUCCAGCACAGCUG